Molecule: ribosomal RNA, 480 nt
Filed under: uncultured bacterium
Lineage: Bacteria
Description: SSU rRNA
Rfam family: Bacterial small subunit ribosomal RNA
Source: RNAcentral
AGGAUGAACGCUGGCGGCGUGCUUAACACAUGCAAGUCGAACGGUGAAAGAGGAGCUUGCUCCUCUGGAUCAGUGGCGAACGGGUGAGUAACACGUGAGUAACCUGCCCUUGACUCUGGGAUAAGCGUUGGAAACGACGUCUAAUACCGGAUACGACCUCCGAAGGCAUCUUCUGGAGGUGGAAAGAAUUUCGGUCAAGGAUGGACUCGCGGCCUAUCAGCUAGUUGGUGAGGUAAUGGCCCACCAAGGCGACGACGGGUAGCCGGCCUGAGAGGGUGACCGGCCACACUGGGACUGAGACACGGCCCAGACUCCUACGGGAGGCAGCAGUGGGGAAUAUUGCACAAUGGGCGCAAGCCUGAUGCAGCAACGCCGCGUGAGGGACGACGGCCUUCGGGUUGUAACCUCUUUAGUAGGGAAGAAGCGAAGUGACGGUACCUGCAGAAAAGCACCGGCUAACUACGUGCCAGCAGCCGCGGU